RNAcentral lists this long non-coding RNA (2565 nucleotides) under Equus asinus (donkey). RNAcentral describes it as "lncRNA (ENSEASG00005028314.1)". Lineage: Eukaryota; Metazoa; Chordata; Mammalia; Perissodactyla; Equidae. The record is from RNAcentral.
CACUAACUCUCGGCCCCACGACGGAGAGCCGCCUGUGGGCAGGGGAGGCCGCGUCAUCUCUAUGGUCACCGGCGGCCGCUCUGGGCCGAGCAGCCGAAAACUCGGUGGCGUAAGGCCUCCGCACGGUGGCUUUCCGGCCAACAAACGGAAGGACGGCAUGAGAGGCCAAGAGGACUUCCGCUCCCACCUGCCGAUCACGGGGCCCACCAAUCACAGGCGCCCGCCCGGCACAGCGCCCACCAAUCAUAGGCACUUCCACUUCAAGCGCCCCGCCCUCAACCCACUUCCGGCCUGGAGCCCCGGAAGCGGUGAAAAGACAGACCGACGACGCCCUGAGAGAAAGAGGCGGGAAGAGGGAGAGGAGAAGCGGCCCCGAGGCGGUGCGGCGUCCGCUACUUACUGUAGGAGUAGCUGCUCACUUCCGAGGCGAACGGGGAGUGGGCCGACUUGGGCUGGCCUCUGGCCUUGAACCCGGCCUCCAUCUUCCGGGCUUUGGCGGCCCUUUUGGGUUUACCUUCUCUGGAGGCCUUGAGAGACAGGCCGAGGCCCUUGGCCAGCGCCUUCCUGUCCUUGCCCAGCAGGCUGUCAUAGGGCGUCAGGUAACAUUGCAUAAGGAGGAAAAAGUUGGGAGAGUGUCAUUUAAGCAACAACAAAAGCAUCCUUCACGAUUUGAGUAGAGAGGAUCCUGACGUACACACUGGCUCUCUUCCCGCCCACCCCAGAUCCAGUCUCCCUGGGUGAGUGUGUGCCGCUGGUGGCCAGAUCAACCAAAACAGCCCCCUCGCACAGGGCUGUACAGGGAGGAAUGACAAGGGACCCUCGUGUUUAGAAACAAGGGCCUUAAGUGGAUGAUUUCAGUGCUCUGCAGAAAUAAGAAAAAUCCAGAACUUGGCUCUUACCCCUCGACCCCUGGAGAGUUCACAGAGGAAACUACAAUGGCACCAAGCCACUGUUUCUUACACCGGCAGAAUGGUGAAGCCGCCCAUUAAACAAUUACAGCAGCAAACAAGAGAGUGAUCACAUCAUUUGGUUAAGAACUUGCACUCCCUCUGCUGAGCUUCAGCACAGGGUCAGAGCACACACAGGGCACAUGGCUGUCAGUCUCAGCUCCACCUGAGGCUGUGUUACUUUGGCAAGUGUCAGACCGCCUCUGGACCUCUGGACUUUCCCCCUCUGCACAAUAAGGAAGAUUGAAGAGUCACUCUGGCACUAAGGCAAUCGUGUCCGCAGUUUCUGUGCAGCAGCAGGGCGAACAGAUCUGCAAAGGGCGCACGAACUCCGGCACACCCUACAGACCUUCCGCCCCAAGAUGGCAGCACACCUGGGAGCCAGGGUUACUGACCUGACUCAUGAAGUCCGACGAGGCUUCAUGCUCAUCCCAAGGCUGGCUCCUGCCCCUAGCUUUCCCCGUCCCAACGAGGCCAUCAUGUUCCUCCUCGGGCCCCUUGUGUCUCUUCCUCAUCCCUGCUCCCAGCUCGUAGUCAUCCGCUGUCAGCAGGGACUUGCUGCUCAGCCUGAAACCCAGAGGCACCGUUGGUCAGCACCCGGCCAGGCGGCCCUCAAGGGCAGGGGUCGCCCCUCGUGGCCCGGAAGGGUGGGCUCUGGAUGUCCAAGCACACACAGUGAUGACAGAGUGACGAGUCUAGGGAGACGUAUCCUGCAAAACUAUAGUGCUGGAAUGGUGGGAUAUUUGUGAAUGAGGCAGAACGAGAGUUGAAGGUGAAAGAAGAACUCCAAGUCAGUCUCUGCUGGCCUCUUUCUCUCUCGUGCUCCUCCACACACGCUCGCACACACAUCUUUGGUUAGAAACCUGUUCACCAAAAGGUGCCAAGAACAAGGAUCAGAAAUGCCACGGAAAGGCGCCAGGAUGAGGGGGAUGCAGAUCAAGGGCUUCUCUGAAGGAGCCACUGGCCGGUCUCCUGCAGCCUUGGGGGCACGGCAGUGGGACGUGGGCCCGGCUCAAAGGUUUCUCCUGCCUGCUUUAAGCUCAGCCCUCCCAAGCGAGAGAAUUGGCCCAUCCGUACGUGGCACUCACUGUGUGUCCUGCUCCGUGUUAGUGCUUUAGAUUUUAGCCACAAAAUGACACUUUGUUCUACACGCUGUUCUUUACAGAGGAAGAAACAGGCUCAGAAAAGCUAACACCUGGCCGAGGUCACAGUGAGGGGCGGACCUGGGACUCGAAAGCAGGAAGCACAACCGCCGCUAGGGUCCACUCUCCUAACCAGGGGGCCUGCUCGCUGGCAGCCCAGCCUCUGCUGUCUUCUCCAGGAGCUGCUUCCCUCCCCUCCUAUGGCUGGUGAUGGGUAUUUCUUCCUUCCCUCAUCCUCUCCUCAGUCAGGAACAUCCUGUGGGGGCGCUUGGGGCCAUCUUCUCCUGAGAAAACCUGUGGCUGGCCCACAGCCUCUCCUGUGCCUUUAGAAGGUAGCCCGUGGCCCCUCUGCUUCCUCAAGCCAAGCACUGGGCCUCGUAGCAUCCACCCCGCCCUGAUGUCCCACGCUGAAGCCCAUUCCAACCCCCUUCCUUCGCUGGGCCUCCCGCAGCCCAUGCUGCUCCCCAACACCUAGG